This 494-nucleotide ribosomal RNA is filed under the name uncultured bacterium. RNAcentral describes it as "partial 16S ribosomal RNA". It matches the Rfam family "Bacterial small subunit ribosomal RNA", at positions 28 to 507 of the family's 1533-position model. The record is from RNAcentral.
GACGAACGCUGGCGGCGUGCUUAACACAUGCAAGUCGAACGGAAAGGCCUGCUUUCCCUUGUGGAUUGCGGGUCCUCGAGUGGCGAACGGGUGAGUAACAAGUGAGUGAUCUGCCCCCAACUUGGGUAUAAGCCUGGGAAACUGGGUCUAAUUACCGAUAGGACUGCAGGGUGGUGCCUGUGGUGGAAAACGAUUUUCUAGUGGUUGGGGAUGCGCUCGCGGCCUAUCAGCUUGUUGGUGGGGUAAUGGCCUACCAAGGCGGCGACGGGUAGCCGGCGUGAGAGGGUCGACAGUGACAUUGGGACAGGGACACGACCCAGACUCCUACGGGAGGUAGGAGUUGGGAAGAAUUCACAAUGAGCGUAAGCCUGAUGCGGCGACGCCGUGUUGAGGAUGUCGGCCUUCGGGUUGUAAGCUCCUUUCGACCGCGAUGAAGCCACCUGGUUGGAAGGGUGGUGACGGUAGUGGUAGAAGAAGCACCGGCUAACUACGUG